GCACCUUCGAGUGAGUGGCAGACGGGUGAGUAACGCGUGGGAACGUGCCUCAAGGUACGGAAUAGCACCGGGAAACUGGUGGUAAUACCGUAUAUCUCCUUCGGGAGAAAGAUUUAUCGCCUUGGGAUCGGCCCGCGUUGGAUUAGCUAGUUGGUGGGGUAAAGGCCUACCAAGGCGACGAUCCAUAGCUGGUCUGAGAGGAUGAUCAGCCACACUGGGACUGAGACACGGCCCAGACUCCUACGGGAGGCAGCAGUGGGGAAUAUUGGACAAUGGGCGCAAGCCUGAUCCAGCCAUGCCGCGUGAGUGAAGAAGGCCUUCGGGUUGUAAAGCUCUUUCACUGGCGAAGAUGAUGACGGUAGCCAGAGAAGAAGCCCCGGCUAACUUCGUGCCAGCAGCCGCGGUAAUACGAAGGGGGCAAGCGUUGUCCGGAAUUACUGGGCGUAAAGGGCGUGUAGGCGGAAUGCCAAGUUAGAUGUGAAAGCCCCGGGCUCAACCUG
RNAcentral lists this ribosomal RNA (500 nucleotides) under Mycoplana sp. C1. Its description in RNAcentral is "bacterial SSU rRNA". It matches the Rfam family "Bacterial small subunit ribosomal RNA", at positions 81 to 616 of the family's 1533-position model. The record is from RNAcentral. Lineage: Bacteria; Pseudomonadati; Pseudomonadota; Alphaproteobacteria; Hyphomicrobiales; Rhizobiaceae.